Molecule: ribosomal RNA, 393 nt
Filed under: uncultured bacterium
Lineage: Bacteria
Description: partial 16S ribosomal RNA
Rfam family: Bacterial small subunit ribosomal RNA
Source: RNAcentral
AUACGGAUGAUCCGAGCGUUAUCCGGAUUUAUUGGGUUUAAAGGGUGCGCAGGCGGGAGAUUAAGUCGGCGGUGAAAUUUUGCAGCUCAACUGUAAAAGUGCCUUCGAAACUGGUUUCCUUGAGUGUAGAUGAAGUAGGCGGAAUUUGUGGUGUAGCGGUGAAAUGCAUAGAUAUCACGAGGAACUCCGAUUGCGCAGGCAGCUUACUAAACUACUACUGACGCUCAGGCACGAAGGCGUGGGGAUCAAACAGGAUUAGAUACCCUGGUAGUCCACGCAGUAAACGAUGAUUACUAGCUGUUUGCGAUACAAUGUAAGCGGCUGAGCGAAAGCGUUAAGUAAUCCACCUGGGGAGUACGUUCGCAAGAAUGAAACUCAAAUGAAUUGACGGGG